RNAcentral lists this long non-coding RNA (441 nucleotides) under Medicago truncatula (barrel medic). Its description in RNAcentral is "lncRNA gene33852". Lineage: Eukaryota; Viridiplantae; Streptophyta; Magnoliopsida; Fabales; Fabaceae. The record is from RNAcentral.
AUGUUUAUUUUAAAAAGAGGGUCGAGCAUCCUAUUUGACAGGGACGGCCCUGGUCUUUACCUCUCACUACUUAAGAACAUGGCACGAUUGUGCAUCCUGAAGCAAUGAUGAAACACAGGGCUAUAUAUCCUUCGAGGAAAUACACCCAUUGCGCAAGUUCUAAUUAAAUGGGAGCAUUUGGAUUUGACUGCAACUACUUGGGAAGAUCAGAGUGAUGUGGAUACAACUGCAAGUUGUCCUAAGAGAGUAGGAAAGUUGGUUGCAAUGUGAUUAUUCCUUUAUUCGUAUUCUCAUCCUUGUUGUUCCUUCUUUCUUUUCCAUAUCAGUUCUUAUGUUUUUGUUCUCAUUCUCAAUGUAAAAGUUAAUAUUCCUCUCAGCAGUUAUACUUUGAGCUGAGCAGUUGGUGAUUAUCAAUAAAACAUUAACCAAUAUUUUCUAUUC